RNAcentral lists this long non-coding RNA (271 nucleotides) under Ananas comosus (pineapple). RNAcentral's name for it is "long non-coding RNA (ACOM_LNC022189)". The record is from RNAcentral. Lineage: Eukaryota; Viridiplantae; Streptophyta; Magnoliopsida; Poales; Bromeliaceae.
CGAAUUAUUCCGAAUUUUUGGCAAAAAUUCGAAAACGGGUGUUUAAUUCGGCAUUUCAAAAAUUCGCGAAUAAUUCGCGAAUAAUUCGCGAAUUAACUAACUAUGGUCUAGGCUAGCAAUAAAGAGUUAGGAUUGCCCAUCUUCGAGCAAAAAAAGUUGGUGCUGCAUGGGCUUUGCGAAUAAAAACGUUAAGGCCGUGACAAUUGGUAUCAGAGCCGAUUCGAGAAGGAACCAUAUCGUCAUCAGACGUUGCCAUCAUCGACGUUACGGC